GUGGGUAUGGCUCAGUGGUGGAGCACCUGCUCAGCAUGCACGGGGUCCUGGGUUCGAUCCCAGUACCUACA
RNAcentral lists this transfer RNA (71 nucleotides) under Camelus bactrianus (Bactrian camel). It matches the Rfam family "tRNA". From Rfam's summary of the family: Transfer RNA (tRNA) molecules are approximately 80 nucleotides in length. Their secondary structure includes four short double-helical elements and three loops (D, anti-codon, and T loops). Lineage: Eukaryota; Metazoa; Chordata; Mammalia; Artiodactyla; Camelidae. The record is from Rfam by way of RNAcentral. RNAcentral also lists the same sequence under 2 other names.